This 54-nucleotide microRNA precursor is filed under the name Ciona intestinalis (vase tunicate). RNAcentral's name for it is "microRNA mir-4201 (mir4201)". The record is from RNAcentral. Lineage: Eukaryota; Metazoa; Chordata; Ascidiacea; Phlebobranchia; Cionidae.
GGCAUUGAUAUGUGGGUUGGAAUAUGCGAGAAUCUGGGAGAAGCGUAACAUGCC